Molecule: unclassified non-coding RNA, 217 nt
Filed under: Hevea brasiliensis (rubber tree)
Lineage: Eukaryota; Viridiplantae; Streptophyta; Magnoliopsida; Malpighiales; Euphorbiaceae
Source: RNAcentral
UCCCCAAUCCUCAAUUCCCUUUCAAAUCCCUCUGAUGGCGCCGAAAUCCGAGAAGAAGCCCGCGGAGAAGAAGCCGGUGGCGGAGAAGCCCGCCGCCGAGGAGGAGAAGAAGUCAGCCCCGGCAGCGGCAGCGGCGGAGAAGAAGCCGGCCGAGAAGAAGCCCAAGGCUGGGAAGAAGCUCCCGGCCUCCAAAGGCAAGGAGGGGGAGAAGAAGAAG